RNAcentral lists this ribosomal RNA (637 nucleotides) under uncultured bacterium. RNAcentral's name for it is "bacterial SSU rRNA". It matches the Rfam family "Bacterial small subunit ribosomal RNA", at positions 8 to 655 of the family's 1533-position model. The record is from RNAcentral.
AGAGUUUGAUCCUGGCUCAGGAUGAACGCUAGCGGCAGGCCUAAUACAUGCAAGUCGAACGGUGUAGCAAUACAUAGUGGCGCACGGGUGCGUAACACGUAUGCAACCUACCUUAUACUUAGGGAUAGCCUUUGGAAACGGAGAUUAACACUUAAUGGUAUAUUUAGCUGGCAUCGGUUAGAUAUUAAAGAUUUAUUGGUAUAAGAUGGGCAUGCGUCCAAUUAGUUAGUUGGUGAGGUAAUGGCUCACCAAGACGAUGAUUGGUAGGGGAACUGAGAGGUUAAUCCCCCACACUGGCACUGAGAUACGGGCCAGACUCCUACGGGAGGCAGCAGUAGGGAAUAUUGGGCAAUGGAGGGAACUCUGACCCAGCCAUGCCGCGUGCAGGAUGAAGGCGUUAUGCGUUGUAAACUGCUUUUAUAUAGGAAGAAACAGACCUUGCGAGGUAAAUUGACGGUACUAUAUGAAUAAGCACCGGCUAACUCCGUGCCAGCAGCCGCGGUAAUACGGAGGGUGCAAGCGUUGUCCGGAUUUAUUGGGUUUAAAGGGUGCGUAGGCGGUUUAUUAAGUCAGUGGUGAAAGACGGUCGCUCAACGAUUGCAGUGCCAUUGAUACUGGUAGACUUGAGUGUGAUUGA